GACGAACGCUGGCGGCGUGCUUAACACAUGCAAGUCGAACGGAAAGGCCCUGCUUUUGUGGGGUGCUCGAGUGGCGAACGGGUGAGUAACACGUGAGUAACCUGCCCUUGACUUUGGGAUAACUUCAGGAAACUGGGGCUAAUACCGGAUAGGAGCUCCUGCUGCAUGGUGGGGGUUGGAAAGUUUCGGCGGUUGGGGAUGGACUCGCGGCUUAUCAGCUUGUUGGUGGGGUAGUGGCUUACCAAGGCUUUGACGGGUAGCCGGCCUGAGAGGGUGACCGGCAAAUUGGGAACGAGGUUACGGCCCAGACUCCUAGGGGGGGCAGAGGUGGGGAAUAUUGCACAAGGGGCGGAAGCUGAAGGCGGAAACGCGGCGGGGGGGAGGAGGGCCUUCGGGUGGUAAACGGCUUUCGCCGGUGACGAGGCGUGGGUGACGGUAAUGGGUAAGGAAGCACCGGCUAACUACGU
RNAcentral lists this ribosomal RNA (467 nucleotides) under uncultured bacterium. RNAcentral describes it as "partial 16S ribosomal RNA". It matches the Rfam family "Bacterial small subunit ribosomal RNA", at positions 28 to 506 of the family's 1533-position model. The record is from RNAcentral.